This 835-nucleotide ribosomal RNA is filed under the name uncultured bacterium. RNAcentral describes it as "bacterial SSU rRNA". It matches the Rfam family "Bacterial small subunit ribosomal RNA", at positions 28 to 896 of the family's 1533-position model. The record is from RNAcentral.
AAUCAACGCUGGCGGCGUGCCUAACACAUGCAAGUCGAACGAGAAAGUGGAGCAAUCUACAAGUACAGUGGCGUACGGGUGAGUAACACGUGACUAACCUACCCUCGAGUGGGGAAUAACCUCGGGAAACCGGGGCUAAUACCGCAUAACAUCUACGGAUCAAAUGCGCAAGCAGCUUGAGGAGGGGGUCGCGGCUGAUUAGCUAGUUGGCGGGGUAACGGCCCACCAAGGCAAUGAUCAGUAGCCGGCCUGAGAGGGCGCACGGCCACACUGGAACUGAAACACGGUCCAGACUCCUACGGGAGGCAGCAGUGGGGAAUUUUGCGCAAUGGGGGAAACCCUGACGCAGCAACGCCGCGUGGAGGAUGAAGCCCCUUGGGGUGUAAACUCCUUUCGAUCGGGACGAUUAUGACGGUACCGGAUGAAGAAGCACCGGCUAACUCUGUGCCAGCAGCCGCGGUAAUACAGAGGGUGCAAGCGUUGUUCGGAAUUAUUGGGCGUAAAGGGUGCGUAGGCGGUGCGGUAAGUCUUCUGUGAAAUCUCCGGGCUCAACCCGGAGCCUGCAGAGGAAACUGCCGUGCUGGAGUAUGGGAGAGGCGCGUGGAAUUGCAGGUGUAGCGGUGAAAUGCGUAGAUAUCUGCAGGAACACCCGUGGCGAAAGCGGCGCGCUGGACCACAACUGACGCUGAGGAACGAAAGCUAGGGGAGCAAACAGGAUUAGAUACCCUGGUAGUCCUAGCCCUAAACGAUGCAUAUUUGGUGUGGGCCAUUCAGUUGGUCCGUGCCGGAGCUAACGCGUUAAAUAUGCCGCCUGGGGAGUACAGUCGCAAGGCUG